GCAAACAAUAAUAAAAACAACAUACAACACACAUUUUUUAAACUAUACUUAUAUCUCAAGCAUGUCGCAGGUACACUUUUCGGACAUCUUCUCAAGCUCUUCCUUAUUCGACUUCUUUCUUUCCUUCUCGUCCAACCUCUCUCGCUCCUCUUGCUCCUUUUGAACACUCUCCCGCAACUUCUGUAACAAACACUCCCUCUCUUCCUAAAUCUACUUCUCCCUUUCCUCACCCUCUUUACAACAAUUA
RNAcentral lists this long non-coding RNA (247 nucleotides) under Lathyrus oleraceus (garden pea). Its description in RNAcentral is "Pisum sativum (pea) long non-coding RNA (PSAT_LNC010905)". The record is from RNAcentral. Lineage: Eukaryota; Viridiplantae; Streptophyta; Magnoliopsida; Fabales; Fabaceae.